UCGGGAAUUUUGGGCAAUGGGCGAAAGCCUGACCCAGCAACGCCGCGUGAAGGAUGAAGUAUUUCGGUAUGUAAACUUCGUAAGAAUAGGAAGAAUAAAUGACGGUACUAUUUGUAAGGUCCGGCUAACUACGUGCCAGCAGCCGCGGUAAUACGUAGGGACCAAGCGUUAUCCGGAAUCACUGGGCGUAAAGGGUGUCGAGGCGGUUGUAUUAGUCGUUCGUAAAAUCUACGAGCUUAACUUGUAGGCGGCGAACGAAACGGUACGACUUGAGGUUUGGAGAGGUGCGUGGAACUCACGGUGUAGGGGUGAAAUCCGUUGAUAUCGUGGGGAACACCAAAGGCGAAGGCAGCGCACUGGCCAAAAUCUGACGCUCACACACGAAAGCUAGGGUAGCGAAGAGGAUUAGAUACCCUGGUAGUCCCUGAGCGGGCUGGCAAGGCGCAU
RNAcentral lists this ribosomal RNA (447 nucleotides) under uncultured bacterium. Its description in RNAcentral is "bacterial SSU rRNA". It matches the Rfam family "Bacterial small subunit ribosomal RNA", at positions 355 to 825 of the family's 1533-position model. The record is from RNAcentral.